UUUGAGAGUUUGAUCCUAGCUCAGGAUGAACCCUGCCUGCCGGCAGGCAGGGCUUGAGAGUUUGAUCCUAGCUCAGGAUGAACGCUGGCGGCGUGGAUAAGGCAUGCAAGUCGAACGAUCAUUCGCUUCGCUCAUUGUAGAGUGGUAGUGGCGAACGAGUCAGUAACACCUUGGUUACGUACCCCGAAGUGGAGCAUAGCCAGCCGAAAGGUUGGGUAAUUCUCCAUAAUCCCGCAAGGGUAAAGUCGCAAGACGCUUUGGGAUCGGCCUAGGCCCGAUCAGCUUGUUGGUGAGGUAACGGCUCACCAAGGCUACGACCGGUAGGGGUGCUGAGAGGCAGUUCCCCGACGACGAGACUGAGACACGGCUCGUACACCUACGGGUGGCAGCAGUCGAGAAUAUUCCACAAUGGGCGAAAGCCUGAUGGAGCGACGCCGGAUGAUAUAGUCCAAUUAGUUCGCCAAAAACUUUGGCGGGCCAGCAGCAGCGGUAAUACAGAGACCUCGAGCGUUGUCCGGAUUUAUUGGGCGUAAAGGGCGCGUAGGAUUCUCUUUGCAUCUCCAGUCAAAUAUUGAGGCUUAACCUCAAAACCGCUGGAGAGAUGAAAGAGAUUGAGGGUGCCAGAGGCAAGCGGAACGCACGGUGUAGGGGUGAAAUCCGUUGAUAUCGUGCGGAACACCAUAGGCGAAGGCGGCUUGCUGGGGCAUUCCUGACUCUGAGGCGCGAAAGCGUGGGGAGCAAAAAGGAUUAGAUACCCUUGUAGUCCACGCCCUAAACUAUGUUCGCUGGCUGUCGGGAGUAUCGACCCUCUCGGUGGCGAAGCUAACGCGUUAAGCGAACCGCCUGGGAAGUACGGCCGCAAGGCUAAAACUCAAAGGAAUAGACGGGGACUCGCACAAGCGGUGGAGCAUGAGGUUUAAUUCGAUGGUAAGCGAAACACCUCACCAGGGCUUGAAAUCCCAACGACGUCUCGCCGAAAGGCGUGAUUCUCCAGGUUUACUUGGAGCGUUGGGGCAGGUGUUGCACGGUUGUCGUCAGCUCGUGGCUUGAGUUGUUCCCUUAAGUGGGUCAACGAGCGCAACCCCUGUUGCCUGUUACAAGUGUCAGGCGCCAAAAGAGCUGGGAGGAAGGAGGGGAUGACGUCAAAUCAGCGUGACCCUUUGAUGCCCUGGGCGACACUCAUGCUACAAUGGCAGGUACAAUGGGUAGCCAAGCCGUAAGGCGGAGCCAAUCCCAUCAAAACUUGCCCCAGUUCGGAUUGGAGUCUGCAACUCGACUCCAUGAAGCCGGAAUCGCUAGUAAUCGCGGAUCAGCACGCCGCGGUGAAUACGUUCUCGAGUCUUGUACUCCGCCCCGACGUCAAGUCGGGGAGCUGAUAUAGAUUUAUCUAUCAUCAGCUUGGGAACUCGAAAUCGACCUAUGAUUAUCGAAAUCCGCCCGUCAUACCAAGGGAGCCGGUAAUGGGUGAAGUCCCGCCCUUUUGGUACGAAAUUCGCGCCAAAAGGGCGGGAUCAGCCCAAGAUCGGUGACACGGGUAAAGUCGUAACAAGGCACGUGUAGCGGAAGCUGUGCGUGAAACA
This 1580-nucleotide ribosomal RNA is filed under the name Candidatus Wolfebacteria bacterium GW2011_GWC1_43_10. Its description in RNAcentral is "bacterial SSU rRNA". It matches the Rfam family "Bacterial small subunit ribosomal RNA". Lineage: Bacteria; Candidatus Wolfeibacteriota. The record is from RNAcentral.